This 448-nucleotide transfer RNA is filed under the name Vibrio penaeicida. RNAcentral describes it as "partial miscellaneous RNA". The stretch from base 64 to 136 matches the Rfam family "tRNA". Lineage: Bacteria; Pseudomonadati; Pseudomonadota; Gammaproteobacteria; Vibrionales; Vibrionaceae. The record is from RNAcentral.
CGCGAUGAGUACCCACACAGAUUGAUACGGUUUAUAAAGUUAAGAGUAAGAAAACUUCCAGAUGGGGCUAUAGCUCAGCUGGGAGAGCGCUUCGCUGGCAGCGAAGAGGUCUGCGGUUCGAUCCCGCAUAGCUCCACCAUCUUUAAGUGUUCUUCUCUUAAAUCAGAGAAUAUUUAAAAAUGGUUCUUAACGAAUCACGCUCUUUAACAAUUUGGAAAGCUGACGAAUAACAACAAUCCCCUUAUCUUCGGAUAAGCGUUGUUAUUCAAAUUAAAAGUUCUCAAAUCCUAUUCUCUAUGAGAGUAGGUACCAACACACAUUCAAGUGUUCUUGGGUUUUCACGAAAGUGAAAACAUAUUUGAGUCCGGCAAAAUCGAAGUGUUGUCUCGCUCAUAACAAAGAGACAACAAUAAACCUUGGUUGUUUGCCAUACAGAAACCUUUUGGGG